RNAcentral lists this ribosomal RNA (1949 nucleotides) under Escherichia coli. RNAcentral's name for it is "partial 23S ribosomal RNA". It matches the Rfam family "Bacterial large subunit ribosomal RNA", at positions 998 to 2925 of the family's 2925-position model. Lineage: Bacteria; Pseudomonadati; Pseudomonadota; Gammaproteobacteria; Enterobacterales; Enterobacteriaceae. The record is from RNAcentral.
CUAACGUCCGUCGUGAAGAGGGAAACAACCCAGACCGCCAGCUAAGGUCCCAAAGUCAUGGUUAAGUGGGAAACGAUGUGGGAAGGCCCAGACAGCCAGGAUGUUGGCUUAGAAGCAGCCAUCAUUUAAAGAAAGCGUAAUAGCUCACUGGUCGAGUCGGCCUGCGCGGAAGAUGUAACGGGGCUAAACCAUGCACCGAAGCUGCGGCAGCGACACUAUGUGUUGUUGGGUAGGGGAGCGUUCUGUAAGCCUGUGAAGGUGUGCUGUGAGGCAUGCUGGAGGUAUCAGAAGUGCGAAUGCUGACAUAAGUAACGAUAAAGCGGGUGAAAAGCCCGCUCGCCGGAAGACCAAGGGUUCCUGUCCAACGUUAAUCGGGGCAGGGUGAGUCGACCCCUAAGGCGAGGCCGAAAGGCGUAGUCGAUGGGAAACAGGUUAAUAUUCCUGUACUUGGUGUUACUGCGAAGGGGGGACGGAGAAGGCUAUGUUGGCCGGGCGACGGUUGUCCCGGUUUAAGCGUGUAGGCUGAUUUUCCAGGCAAAUCCGGAAAAUCAAGGCUGAGGCGUGAUGACGAGGCACUACGGUGCUGAAGCAACAAAUGCCCUGCUUCCAGGAAAAGCCUCUAAGCAUCAGGUAACAUCAAAUCGUACCCCAAACCGACACAGGUGGUCAGGUAGAGAAUACCAAGGCGCUUGAGAGAACUCGGGUGAAGGAACUAGGCAAAAUGGUGCCGUAACUUCGGGAGAAGGCACGCUGAUAUGUAGGUGAAGCGACUUGCUCGUGGAGCUGAAAUCAGUCGAAGAUACCAGCUGGCUGCAACUGUUUAUUAAAAACACAGCACUGUGCAAACACGAAAGUGGACGUAUACGGUGUGACGCCUGCCCGGUGCCGGAAGGUUAAUUGAUGGGGUUAGCGGUAACGCGAAGCUCUUGAUCGAAGCCCCGGUAAACGGCGGCCGUAACUAUAACGGUCCUAAGGUAGCGAAAUUCCUUGUCGGGUAAGUUCCGACCUGCACGAAUGGCGUAAUGAUGGCCAGGCUGUCUCCACCCGAGACUCAGUGAAAUUGAACUCGCUGUGAAGAUGCAGUGUACCCGCGGCAAGACGGAAAGACCCCGUGAACCUUUACUAUAGCUUGACACUGAACAUUGAGCCUUGAUGUGUAGGAUAGGUGGGAGGCUUUGAAGUGUGGACGCCAGUCUGCAUGGAGCCGACCUUGAAAUACCACCCUUUAAUGUUUGAUGUUCUAACGUUGGCCCGUUAUCCGGGUUGCGGACAGUGUCUGGUGGGUAGUUUGACUGGGGCGGUCUCCUCCUAAAGAGUAACGGAGGAGCACGAAGGUUGGCUAAUCCUGGUCGGACAUCAGGAGGUUAGUGCAAUGGCAUAAGCCAGCUUGACUGCGAGCGUGACGGCGCGAGCAGGUGCGAAAGCAGGUCAUAGUGAUCCGGUGGUUCUGAAUGGAAGGGCCAUCGCUCAACGGAUAAAAGGUACUCCGGGGAUAACAGGCUGAUACCGCCCAAGAGUUCAUAUCGACGGCGGUGUUUGGCACCUCGAUGUCGGCUCAUCACAUCCUGGGGCUGAAGUAGGUCCCAAGGGUAUGGCUGUUCGCCAUUUAAAGUGGUACGCGAGCUGGGUUUAGAACGUCGUGAGACAGUUCGGUCCCUAUCUGCCGUGGGCGCUGGAGAACUGAGGGGGGCUGCUCCUAGUACGAGAGGACCGGAGUGGACGCAUCACUGGUGUUCGGGUUGUCAUGCCAAUGGCACUGCCCGGUAGCUAAAUGCGGAAGAGAUAAGUGCUGAAAGCAUCUAAGCACGAAACUUGCCCCGAGAUGAGUUCUCCCUGACUCCCUGAGAGUCCUGAAGGAACGUUGAAGACGACGACGUUGAUAGGCCGGGUGUGUAAGCGCAGCGAUGCGUUGAGCUAACCGGUACUAAUGAACCGUGAGGCUUAACCUU